This 134-nucleotide small RNA is filed under the name Salmonella enterica. RNAcentral's name for it is "RtT sRNA". It matches the Rfam family "RtT RNA". Rfam says of the family: This family represents a bacterial cis-regulatory element known as RtT RNA. The exact function of RtT is unknown although it is thought that it may be involved in changing the cellular response in relation to amino acid starvation. Lineage: Bacteria; Pseudomonadati; Pseudomonadota; Gammaproteobacteria; Enterobacterales; Enterobacteriaceae. The record is from RNAcentral.
UGCAUCUGAAGCCUGACGAGGAUGAGAACCUACGGGGGCAGGAGGUUCGACCCGAGCGAAGCGAGAGAACGUUGCGUCAGCAACGGCCCGCAGGGCGAGCCACGCAGUGGCGAGUCAUCCUCUAUCACCGACCA